UGGGGAAUCUUCCGCAAUGGACGAAAGUCUGACGGAGCAACGCCGCGUGAGUGAUGACGGCCUUCGGGUUGUAAAGCUCUGUUAAUCGGGACGAAUGGUUCUUGUGCAAAUAGUGCGAGGAUUUGACGGUACCGGAAUAGAAAGCCACGGCUAACUACGUGCCAUCAGCCGCGGUAAUACGUAGGUGGCAAGCGUUGUCCGGAAUUAUUGGGCGUAAAGCGCGCGCAGGCGGAUUGGUCAGUCUGUCUUAAAAGUUCGGGGCUUAACCCCGUGAUGGGAUGGAAACUGCCAAUAUAGAGUAUCGGAGAGGAAAGUGGAAUUCCUAGUGUAGCGGUGAAAUGCGUAGAUAUUAGGAAGAACACCAGUGGCGAAGGCGACUUUCUGGACGAAAACUGACGCUGAGGCGCGAAAGCCAGGGGAGCGAACGGG
Molecule: ribosomal RNA, 429 nt
Filed under: bacterium
Lineage: Bacteria
Description: partial 16S ribosomal RNA
Rfam family: Bacterial small subunit ribosomal RNA
Source: RNAcentral